GUGGAGCUGAUAGCAAUAUAUCUGAUUCUGAAUCUGUUUUACGUUUUUCUUUCAACUUGUCUGGAAGUACCAUUCCUCCUUUGCAUGCAGAAGUCUCCGAGAGUAAAUCCACUGUGUUAGAUGAUGCUCAUCCAUCUACUCUAGGGAUCAAAAAGCCUAUUGAGGGAGUUGCUUCAUCAGAAAAGAUAUCUACUCUAGGGAUCAAAAAGCCUAUUGAGGGAGUUGCUUCAUCAGAAAAGAUAAGUACAAAGGCCUUAAAGUUUAGGAACUCACCAUCUUUGGCCUUUGAAAGCUCUAAUCUUGUGGAUAGUGGCCCUAGCAAUGAUUCACAUAAACUGAAGUCCAGAGAAGUUAAACCCUUUUCAUCUAGUGUUUCUAAUGCUCAUCCAUCUUGUAGUACUGGAGGAGAUUCAAUUAGUAUUGAUGCUCCUAAGGCCAGGAGCUCUUCAUCCUUGAGCUCUGAGAGGUCAAACCAUGUUGUUAAUGGCAAAAGUGGUGCCUCACAUCAAUUGAAAUCUAGAGAAGUUGAAUCUUUAUCAUCUGGUGCAUCUGAUCCUCAUUUAUCUUCCAGCACUGAAGGGCAUUCAGUCGCAAGUAUGAGAUCUGGAAAGUCAACAGUUGAUUCUGAUUUGCAUUUAUCUUCUAGCACCAGAGGCCAUCCAGUUCCAAAUGUGAAAUCUGGAAAGGUUGACGGUGUUCACACAGUGGCUGCUAGCUCCUCCCAGAUUGCUAAUCAUUCGCCAAUUGUUAGUAAUGGUCUGAAAACAUCUGUUCGGAAAGUUGUUGACCAAUUCAGACCCUCUAAAUUGUCAAAAUCCCUUCCAUUAGGGGUUGGGAGUGAGAUUGCUGGAAGAUGUAGUGACAAGGUAUUUUACAUGAAUCUUUCAUGUUAGCACACACUUGCAAUACUUUGUUCUGGCAUGUCAAAACUUUGCAUUAAUGUAUCUUUGUUUUUACAGGGUCUCUUUUCUUACGAAGUGUUUGUCAAGCUUUACAUUUGGAACAAGGUUGAGCUGCGCCCAUGUGGCCUCAUGAAUUGUGGGAACAGGUAAUGUGGAGUGGUCCUUGCUUAUGUCAAAAUAAAUAAUAAGUACUAAAUGGUAUAUAAUUCUGAGGGGUUGUGGUAUCCUUGUGAAGUUCAUAAUGAAAUCUUGAUGUGUUCUUCAACUUCUGUUCCGUUUUCUGGAACACUUCUCACAUUUAAUUUAAUGUUACAAGGCUUACUUAUGCAGCAGCCACUUUGUUAAUGAAUUUGGAAAAUUUACCUCAUGUCAAUUGAAAAGGAACCUUUGUGUCCUAUAACUAUGAAUUAGUAUUGCUCAGAUUUACUAGCUUGGUUGUGGUAAUCAAGUGGUUCUUUCUGGAGCUUCAGUGUCGUUAUGAAUUUGUAUGCUCCAAAAAAUAGGUGAUGCCCCAGCAAAAUUCUUUUUUCUCAUUAUUUUCUGAUUUGGUUAUUCAAUAAAGCAUUUGCCUGCAUUACAUUUUACUUUUUUUGGGGAUGACAAUUAUAUUUUUUUCCCCAUUUUGCGCUGAUGCAGUAUAUAUACUUGAAAGAGAGUUGCCUCUCUCUCUCUCCCUCCCUAUAUCUGAAUCUCCCUCACUCAUUCAUUCUCACAUGCACAGACACAUAGUAUUCAUGUUUUAUGUAUGUAUAUAUAUGUGAACAAUUAGAAGACACAAUGUGACUCAUGAUGCUUAUACCCAAACUCUGUGGUAUGAGCAUCCCCAUAUGAUAGAGCACAUGUUUAUAUGUGACCUUAAUUUUGUCGAUAUUGGUAUGGCACAUAUAUGUAUAACAUUUCUUUUUCUGUUAAACAUAUAUGUACACAUUUCUUUUUUAGUUAAAUGUAUCUUUUUUUCCUUAGCAAUAAGCUUCAAGAAUUAUGCUCCAUUGACUCUGUCAAAACGGUCUUCAUUUUCUGCAUCUUUUAACACAUUCCUUACAUUUGUGGAUUUUAAAAUAUCUUCCAUUUAUAAGUCAAUGCAUUUUCUAUUGUCUACCCCUUGAGAAGGGUAUUACCUUGUUUGAUAAAAAAGAGAAAAGAAAAAAAGAAAAAUAGGAAAGAAAAUAAAGGUGUUAUCUUUCCAUCAGAAAUAAAAAACUAUUGUCCUGAAAAUGAAGCUUUUUCCUGAUAUUGGGAUUUUUCCUGCUCUGAAUUUCUUUGUUGUUUCUAACAUAUCCAUUUAUUUAUUCCUCCAGCUGUUACGCUAAUGCUGUGCUCCAGUGCUUGGCAUUUACUCCACCUCUUACUUCUUAUUUUCUUCAAGGACUCCACUCCAAAUCAUGUAUGUUUCUAAUCAUGGUCUCCCUCAUGAUUUAUUUUGUGUUGAAGUUUUCUGCAGUAUGUUUCAUAACACUUUUCCUUUUUUUUUUUUUUUGAAAAAAUGUAAUAUUCUUUUGUUUAUCGCUUUCUAAAUCAGGUUUAAAGAAAGAAUGGUGUUUCACCUGUGAGUUUGAAAGUCUUAUUUUGAAGGCAAAGGAAGGGAAUUCUCCACUUUCUCCUCUUGGUAUACUGUCCCAAAUAAGAAAUAUUGGAAGUCAUCUUGGUAAUGGGAAAGAAGAAGAUGCACAUGAAUUUUUAAGGUGAGUUAACUCUAUACAUAUAUGGAACCCUACUAGACAUGUGUAUGCAUUUCUUUUUGUCUUAAUGAUUUUAUCUUUAUAAGUGUGUAGCAUGAGUCAACUAAUGAUUGAAAUUGACAGGUAUGCUAUUGAUGCAAUGCAAUCUGUUUGUCUUAAGGAAGCUGGGGUGAAUGCUUCAGGCUCUUUGGAAGAGGAAACAUCUCUUAUUGGCCUUACCUUUGGAGGCUACCUUCGUUCAAAGGUAUCUAUAAUCUCCAAGAGGUUCAGAAUUGUGUGAAAAUACAACUGAGCGAUGUUCUUCCUCUCUAUGCCUAGCACUUGAUGUUCUAUGAAUGUGGGUGCAAGUGUUGGUCGUAGUAUGUGUCUAAGUAUCAUUCAUUUGAUUCCCUGAUCCUAGGACCCUGGAACAUGGCUAGAUAAUCUAAUUUUCCUUUCUUCUUAUUCUAUCUCCUAGGCCAAAUUUGAUCUGCAUGCUGAGGUAGAAUGUGCAAUGUGAGUCUGAGGUUACAAUGAAAUAGGAAUUUGUUCUUUUGCUUUAUUGGGCAUACCUGUUGGAUACAUGUCUUAGAAAUUGGCAUGUCAGGCAUACAUUCCAUGUUUGAACCCUUGUCACUUCAUGUCUAACAUGAGUACUUCACAUAUGUUAAAAGCCAUAUAACAUAGUUCGCAUGUUUUUCCUAUAAAAGAAACAUGUUUGAAGUGCUAUCUGCAUCUGAUUUUGUAAGCUUGAAAUGGACUGAAAUGGGAACAACAAAUAGUAAUUCAGUUAUUUGCAGAUAAAAUGCAUGAAGUGCCAUGGUAAAUCUGAGCGGCAUGAGAGAAUGAUGGAUCUUACUGUUGAGAUAGAAGGAGAUAUAGGUACUCUGGAAGAGGCUCUUCAUAAAUUUACUAGCACCGAGAUUCUUGAUGGGGAAAACAAGUACCAAUGUAGCAGGUUGGUUACUUUGCAUUGCUACUUGGAUCUCUCGAGGGCAUGCAUUUUUAUAAUCGUAUGUAUAUAUGUGACCUCAAUGUACUAGUUGAAUUAGGUUAGAGUAUUCUAACUGUCUCUGCAAUGUCUCUGCAAUAAACUGGAUUUAUUUUUUUAUCUCUUUAUCCAAGAAAUUUAACACCUCUUGGGCAAAUAAGCUUAAACAAAACAGAUCUUUUUCCUGCAACAAGCCUGGAAGAAAAUUGGUCUUCCUUCCCAAUGGUGUCUCUGGUUGCUCAUAAAUGACAUGCGUUACAUUAAAUAAUUUUUUUUAUUAACACUUAGGAUAAAAUAAUGGUGCUCGAGCCCUUUGAGAAGAGCAUCUCUCCCUUUGCCUUGAGGUUCAAAUGGUUUGCACAGAUUACUCCAUUAAAAUCAAUCAUCAAAAAGGUAUUAUAUGUGCACUUUUAUGUCCAUGUGGUUCAUGAUUCCCUUUUCUGUUAUGAUUGUGCAUGUUGUUAACUAUUCUUGUGUAUUCCAAUGCAAAAUUUUAAUUUGUGUAGCAAAGUUGUCAUCGCCUGUAAAAAUCACUAUUUUUGACUUGACAUAUAAUCAGAAAGAAUUUAGUAGACCUAAAUGUUUUGUUUUUGUCUUACAUUCUUGAUUUCUUCUCUCUCUCUCCCUAAUUUAUUUAUUAUUAUUAUUAUUUCAUUUUAUUUUAUGGAAUAGUGGUGUCAGGGUUGGGGAGUGGGCAGGGCAUGGGUUUCAGUUGUUAUUGUUGACUAUCUCUCUCUCUCUCUCUCUCUCUCUCUCUCCACUCUCUCUAUCUCUGUGUCUUUAGUUUUUUUUCUUUUCACAUUCUUUUUUGGGAAUGGUGGUGUCAAGGUUGGGGGAGUGGGCAGGGCAUUGGUUUCAGUUUUUGUGGUUGAGGGAAGAGUUGAAGAACUCCUAUGUCAAUUUUUGCUGUUUAUUUGCAUUAUUUCAGCCUAUAGUUUUGGCUUCUGAAAGAAGCAUUGCUCAGCUGUUAGAUUGGUUCCACCUCUGCUGUCUUAAGUUGCCUAAUCUAUGAUCACAUUAUCAAGUUUGCUAUUUUCUUUGGCAUGUUGAAACGUUAUGAUGACACAUUCACUUUGUUAUUGUUAUUGUUUUACUUAGAUGCAAAUCUUAUGAGAAAGCCAAAAAGAAGUUGACAGUAUCAGAGGCUCCUAAUAUCCUUACAAUUGCAUUAAAGCGAUUUCAGGUAAUCCUUUUUGAUUGAGGAAGGCCUUUUUUACUCUUCGUAGGCUUUAUAGAUUCUUAUUGUCUAAGUUCCUUGUGCAUGUUUUGCAGUCGGGUAAAUUUGGAAAGCUCAAUAAGUCGAUAAGAUUUCCAGAGAUCUUGGACUUGGCUCCAUUUAUGAGCGGGACAAGUGAUAAAUCACCUAUAUACAGGCUUUAUGCAGUGGUGGUACACUUGGAUAUCAUGAAUGCUGCAUUUUCUGGUCACUAUGUGUGUUAUGUGAAAAACAUCCAGAACAAAUGGUUCAAGAUUGAUGACAGCACGGUAUGUUCUCAUUUACUAUCAAUCUGUAUUUAUUGAUAUACUUGUUUCAGUUGGACGUUUUUGCCUCCAAAUUCACACUUCCUUCUUCAUUAUGGUUUGGGUUAUCUAUUCUACUUUAUAAAUAGAACCUUUUGCUACAUCUGCCAUGGUGCCAACUAGAGAACUACCCUCUUGUUGUAAAAUGCAUAUUUUAACUCCCUUGAGUAGAAUGUUGGUGUGUAUCUAGGUGUCAGGUUUUGCUUAACCCCUAAAUUUUAUGAUAUUGGGGUAUGUAUCAAUAAACUAAUUUCCAUUUCCUUUUUAUUUUUUCUAUACCCUAGGCCAAAUUGAAGUGUAGAAUUUCUAAUGUGGACAGACCUGUCAAGUAUAUAUCAGAUUAAUAGGCAAUGUGGAAAUAUUUCACAUACCCAAACCCUCGUCAUAUCAUGUACUUCACGCACUUGGAAAUGUUUACUUACAUUGGUUAAUAUUUAUUAAUGAAUAAAAUGUUGAAUUUGAAAUUAAUAUUCCUAUUUGCAAAAAUAUUCUUGUCUUUUCUGCAAACUGCAGUUGGUUGUUUUGUGAUAAAUUCCAGUUUGACAUGUUAUCUUAUUACCUGCUUUACUCAAAAGUUGUGCUCCACAGCAACAUUGAAAUUGUAUUGUCUAAGCUUUUGACUAUGAUUCUGGUCACUAUUGGUUAGGUGAAACCCGUGGAGCUUGAAAGAGUCUUAACAAAAGGGGCAUACAUGCUUCUUUAUGCAAGGUAAUUGGUCUCAAUGUUAAAUUUUAUUUUAUUUUUUGUUCCUCGAUUCCAGCUUUCAUACUGAUAGGGUGUUCAAUUAAUUCAAUUGACCUGUAGGUGCUCACCACGGGCCCCAAGAUUGAUAAGAAAUGCAGUAAUUCCUCGCAAUAGAAAAUUGGAAGCUGCUUCUUCCAGAAACAUUGUUAAGAAUACUACAUUCAAGUUAAGGCACGACUCCAUAGAUUCAACUGCUGGCCAGUCUAUGAUACAUUCAAAGCCCACAGCCUACCACAGUAGAAGCCCUGUGGACUGCCCCGCCAGUUUUGAAUCAUUUUAUUCAGAAGAAACAAGGUUUCCCUGGAAGCAAAGGAUUGUAGAAGCUGACUCAUCAAGUGACAAUUCUUCUCUUUUCACUGAAGAAGGUUCGUGCAGUACAGAGAGCAACCGGGAUUCUACAAGCACGGAAGACCUUUCUGAUUACAUAUUUGGUUAUUCAGGACGUGGUUGGAGCAGCCCUUGGACAAAUUCAUCUGACUCUGACACUUCUUCCUCCUCUUCCUCUUUAAGGAGUUCACCCCUUGCUGAGUUGAACCGCUACUCUUCAUGUUCUACCGAAACAAGUCAUUCUCAAACUGAUAAAGCAAAAUUGGUUAUGGAGGGUGAUGGGUUUUGGGCAAGGCCACCCAACGGGAGUAGCAAGCUAGUGGAUAUGGAGGGUAAGGGAGACAUUCCUUUUUUGCUAUCUGACAUCGCUAAACCGUGUAGAAAGUUAGUUAGUAAUAGUAGUAGUGAUAGUUAUUGUAAGGAGACUGACAAAGAGAAAGUAGGACGGGUUAACCCUUUGGACAGCAUGAAGUUGGGUGUACCUUCUAGGAGAUCAACCCGGGAAAGAACAGAUUAGGCGUUCAUAAUAUUAUAAAAGUUGAGUUUAGAGGGAAGGGUGGAAGGAAAUAAGAGCUGGGGAGGUUGCCAGUAGGGGGUGUAUGUAAUGUACUCUUGCUGUUGGCUUUAUCUAAAGUGAUCAGCCAUGGUCAUUUUGUCAUUAUAUUCUUUUCCUCUAUAUUUAUAAUAGGUAAAUAACUAUGUCAACACCAUUUUAGUGUUUGUUGAUAUGCCGUGUUGGUGCCCUCAAUCCAGAACAGAGAAAGGUUGCUCCGGAAGUGUAGAUAGAAAUUUUGGCAGGGGUUCUAACUUCUACCUCUGCAUCUUUUAAUGCUUGUUGGGUUCUAAAUUAGCAGGCCAUUAUCAAUUAUUGUUUCUUCCGAAGACUAUCAAUGUUGUCCUUUUUUUCCCUUUUGCGAGUCUUAAACAAAUUUGUGGGGUUUUAAAGUAAAGCUAGUAGGUAUUGCCACGGUAGAGAAACUAUGGUGAGCAGUAAUUCAUUGAAUCAAAUGUGUUCAGAUGUUGAUGGGAAUACAUGGGAAAGUAGAGAAGAACCUGGAGCAGGUAAAAAAUGGAAAAUAAAACGAAGGAAGUCUGAAUCCUUUAUGAAAACAAAAGGGGAAACAAAAAAUAAAAGAGGAAUAAGUGGGAUUAGAUAAAGUAAAUUGAUGUUGGUGUAAAUUGGGAUGGCCGAACUGAGUGGAGGCUCGAUUAUUUGUUCCCAAUCUCGUGGUCCAGCCAUCUUGUCUGGUGAAGUGAGGACACAAGGGUAGGAAAUAGUAUUUGUCAAUUCUGCCACUUCAAUUCAGUUAAGCUGGGCUGAGCUGUGAAUAUGACCAAACAAAUCGUAUUCAACGAACUUUCCCUCGUAUCCAAUAAUAUCCCAAUUAGGAUCCGGUGUCCUACCCCACCUAUCCUUGGCCUGUUUAUUUGUUAGACAUAACAUGGAAUGGAAUGGGACAAAGAAUAGGCUUGUUAGAUUGAUGAAGACGCUUGAGAAUGAUGUGGGAUCGAGCAAGGUAAGUAAAACGCAAGCCAUACCGAAUUGAUCAAUAAGCUCACAAAACAAACGGGGCUUUAAAAAUGGGACGGAGAGUUUGGUCAUUUUACUCGACAACCCAAGUGUAUUUAAGGAGAAGUAAAGACUAAGGAACGAAAAUGAGGGAAAGGAAUGGGGGGCGUGCAGCUCUGACCACACAUGGAGGUCAUAAGGCUCAUAACUCAUAAGAAAGUCAAACUGGGAACAGUGGGAAGAAAAAGACAAAAUUGGAAAAAGGAGAGCACGUGGAGAAGUGAGAAGAGGAGCUCUCUAGUCUCUACAAACUAACAAACCCAACCCCAUCUUUCAACUUUUAACAAAGCAGGCUAACACGACAACUAUUCCACUUGCUCAGUUCUCAGUUCUCACCCUCUUUUUCUCUCUCUUCCUUCCAUUUUUGGAUGGAUCGAAUUCAAUUUUACCACCGCAGCUCUGCACCACUGCCACCUCCAUUAUAUAUCUUUUUAACUUUUUACUUUCUGACUUCCAUCAUCAACUCUCACCCCCCCACGCCUCUCUACUUUUCCUCGUUUCUCCCCAUCCCCCACUUGCAUCCAUCGCCCAACCCUGCAUUCUCCCUCUUUGAAUUUCUCAAUCCUGCUUUUACCUUUACCUUUCUUUUGAGAGAAAAGAGAGAGAGAGAGAGAGAGAGAGAGAGAGAGAGAGAGAGAGAGAGAGAGAGAGAGAGAGGGCAUUAUCAUGUAGAAUUGGACUAAUAAAGGCCGCCGCUUGGCAGGCAUAUGUCAUGAAUGAGAAGGUUCCCCAAAAAUUCGUGUGAAACCUGCUUGUUUGAGCAACUGGGAGGAAACCCGUGAACAUAUGAUGAUGACCUUAGACCAUGAUCACAAUAAUAUCAACAUUUAGCCUUCAGAAUUUGAACCAGAAUGCCUUGAUUGUAUUAUAUCGUAUAAUAUCAUGUUAUGGAAUUGGAAUUUUCUAUCGUUUCAAAACUACUUGUAUAUUUAUUUCUGUCUUAAAUUUCAAUUACAGUAGUCAACACUCCAAAGGAAGACAGAAACAACAUAUUUUUUCCACAAUUUUGUGAAGCUGAAGAUGAGAGGAGGUCUGACCCAGAUUAAUUUGGCAGAUGGUAGAUGUAAGAAAAUAAAUCUCAUUGGAUGGGACCAAUCCAUUCAAGUUGAUCUCACAUACAAUGAAUCAUGGAAAAGGAAGCAGAUUGGUAGAGACAAAACUACCGACUGCAAGACAAGAAGCCUUUUUCAUGGGGCACUUCUUUUAUUUUUCACUCUUUUCUCCACCUCACCUAACCUUCUCUCUCAAGAAUCUAAAAUUUUCUUUUUGUGAAAAUGUACAUUAAUUUUCAAUUUUUUUUUUAAUCUUUUAACAUAAAAUAAGAAAAUAACUAUUUUUUUUCUGCCCUAAUAUCAGCUAGACACACAUCUCUAAUGAAAAUAUUUUGCUGAAGAAAUGAUAGAUGGCAUGAACAGUAGCUCUCAGUCAUACCUGUUGACAUCCAAUAAAUUAAAGCAGGUUAAGUACAAAAAUAAGUGAAAAGAAAUGUUGUCCAACUACUGAAAGCAAUUAUGGAAGAAGUAGUGGGGGGAGAUAGCAUUGGUUGAGGAGGGAUAAUGGCAAAUCACAUAGGCAGCUCUUGAGUUUGUAUAAAUAAAGUACAUAUAUCUAUGAUAAGGAGCAUUAAUGUGGAAAAGCAGUUGGUGCAAAAGAGCAAUAUUGGUUUGAGGAAGGAUAUAGAAUAUAAAGAUGAUGCUUUAGAAAACAAAGAGGGAGGGGCAUGGCCGCAUGGCCGACAUGCCAGCAAAGUCAAGCGAUAUAGAGAGAUAUGGAGUCCCUACAAGAUGCACUGGAAUCACGGUUCCAUGCAUCGUCUCAACUGCUGACGCCCAUAAUCACUCUUUCCCACACUUUGCAGGAUGUUGUACCAUAGAGCUCGUGGGUUGAUGGGUCCAUGUUGAAUUUUACACCUGGAGAGAGGUCUCUUCAUAUUCCUAUUGCACACACUGUGGCCGCCAGCCCAUUAAUUUUUGACCUUGCACGUAAAGAAUAAGUUGAAACCGAUCCAUUGGGUUUGGCUAUUCAAGAUGAUGGAUCUGAUCAAAUCAGAUACCAAAUACCAAAUAUUAAUGCUGAUGGGUCACGAUUGUCUCCAUUCUCCACGCAUGCAAUAAACAAUGUCCUAUCAGCUUAGGUUUUCAUGUGAUUCAGCAUUGAAAAGGAGAAGGCAAAAAGAAGUCAGAGAAAUCUACCGCAACUUUUAUGGAAGUAUGCGGGUUUAGGGUAGCAUGCAUAUGCAUAUGCACAUGCAUAUGUCAUGGCAUGGCAUGGCCAGCAAAUUUAAGCAAAAUACAAGGCAAUGUCUCCCCGGGCCUGGAGGCUUUUCCAAGGUGCAAUAAGCACGAGAGAGACCGUGGCGGCACCGCCAGACCCUUUUCCCCUUGGCGGUAUUCAACACAACACCAACAUUACUGCUUCGCACCAUCAUCACCAAUCACUCCUCCUCUUCCUUUUUGUUCCACAACCCUGGGCUUGGCUUUUAGAGCCACCAUUGCAGUCAUAUUUCAUCACCCUGUUCACACCGAAUCAUUCAUCCUUUUACUUCUUUCACUCCCAUCUAUACGACUGUAACCCUGCCAUUUACCUUCUUGGUAUGGAAAAAGUCUUUCCCUCUACCGCCAUAGACCUUUGGGCCGGCUUUGACAAAAACCACCGCUAGCUGUCCCUUUCGUUUUUCCUUCAUAAUUAAUUACGUCUUCAUACUCAAUACAUUUUUUUCCAUGGUUUUGACACAGGAACCAUGUCAAAUCCAAUGGGCAGUAUGUAGUCCACUUGCUUACACCGUAGAUGGUGAAAAGUCAGAAAGUUUGAUUAUUCAAAGUAAAGUAGGAAGACACAUGUAUUAAUUCCUCAAGUCAAGUGUCAUUGUAAUAUUCACUGCUAUACAUUUCAAAAUAUCUCAUUUUCUCAAGAUGUUACUUCCAAAUUGGCUAUGUGGGUACCAAGUCGUGAAUGAUUGUCAAAUAACAAUGCAUGGAUACCUCAAAAGAAAGCACGAAUUGAAGAAGAAAGAAGCCCUACUGGCUAUUAGCAUAUGAUUUUAUUUACAAAAUAUUUGUGUUAGCCUUUUACAUAGCUUACAAGUAGGAACAGAAAGGGAAAGGAGUUUGUGCUCAUAAAUCUUUUUGUGAUCAGUGUGAAUGCGGAGUUGAUGAUGAUGGCAGAAAAAUGAUGGGGAUGUCGAUGGUGAUUACACUUGAAGUGAUAAAUGAUGAUGGUGUUUGACAACGGUGGAGAGGAGCAAGUGCAGUAGGUGAUCAAAGCAGGAAUAAAAGGGAUCAAAAUUAAUUACUAAAGCCUGGAAUUCAACUCCCUACAGUGAGCUGUGAUUUUGAAAAGUCAAAUUUUGAAAAUCCAACGGAAAGUUCUCCAUUCACUGAGAGCAGUGGGAUGUCUUGAAGGUUUUCAAAUGGGAUAAUACCCAAUACCCAAUACCCAAUACCCUCACCAUAUACCUUAGUCAAGGACUGAAGCCCCACUGCAGAAACCCUUGACCCAUGCGCCCUUCACCUGCUUAGGAACUCCUACUAAAGCCACGUGCAUGUCUACCCAUUUUAUUUAUUUUAUAUCUGGGGAUAUGUGUUCAUUGUGUCCCUCACUGUCGUGGCAUGGCUAACCGAUCAAUUAACUAACAAUAAAAUCAUUCAAUUGGGAUUUUUUAAAUGAGCAAAUCUCCUUAUCAUAACUGAAAGAUCCACUAGUCAAACUAAACUGUGUUCAUUUUAUUAAUCGCAGCCUUAUAUAGGGAUCGGUGCUACUGCCCAUCGUAUGUUCUUUGAGUAUACAAAUAUAAAUGACUCAGCCUAUCAAUAUCCAAACAUUAAAAUAGUCAGGCCAAAGAUGUAAGGUUUAUGUAGCUGAUUUAGACUGUAACAUUAUAGAAUUAGAUUAUUCUCACAUGCCCAGUAAAUAAAUGAUCUUACUGAACUUUUCAGAACAAUAAAAUAUGAGAGUAAAAUUUAGUUCCCAGAUGCGAACAAAGGUUGGUAGGACUAGAACUUAGAUAAACACUUAUCAGAGGCGUCUUGUCCACUAACAAGUUGUGGCGAUUGUGGGAUAGACAACGUCAUUCUAAUUCUAUCUAAUAAAGAAGGGACUUAGUCAAUGGAAAAGGAGGACCAAGCCAAUCACUCCAAUGGAUAUGAUGUCGGAAAGAUGAAUUAAAAACAAAGUAAUUUUCAAAGAGGGAAAGUGAUAACAUAACUGGAGUCUAGAGUUUGCUUGCUUGACUAUGUUUCCAAAUAUCCACUACAGAUGAUGCUAAGUUAUUCCAUGCGGGGGCUUAGCAUCCGAAAGGGAACUUAAAAGCCAUCCUCAUGAAAAAAACCAGACUGAGAGCACUUGGAGAAAUAGGGGAAGAGAAGGCUAAUGUUUUGGUUAUUAUCAUGCAUGAUAUCACAAGUGAGGAAGAGAGGAAAGUUAUGAAAUUAAAGGGCAACAAAGGGUCAAAAAAGGGGGCUGUUCUAAUGAAGAAUACGUCCAUGAUGGUGGUGGACGGGGUUGGGCAAGUUGUGUCCGCCUCCUCCAAAUUGGAAAAACUAGGGUGGUUUUGACAAAUCACUUCUGUCCAAACAUGGCUACUUGACAUAUUCCUGCUUGGUCCAAGUUUUGGGUCUCAAUCCGCUAGGACAUUGAUUUAUAGUUGCCAUAAUCUUCCAUUUUGUCGCUUCCAUUAUAUUAUUGAUCUCUAUGACAUAGCAGUCCAAUCUGCACGAAACCCCAAAGAUGGAAGGCUUUGCUGAUUAAUUUGAAAACUGAAAUACCCCCGCUGUCCUGGAAAUCGAAACCCUCCACCAGUGUUCCAAGUGUUCAUCUAGAUGUAUACUGUCAUUAGUUGAAAGGAAAGGUAACUUUUGAGGUAUGAUUGCAAAGUACGACCAUCGUCUAUAUUGCUAAGCACUAAUAGGGCUCUUUGUCAAAUCAAACCCACAUAAUAAAAGGGUAGCAAAUGAGACUUGAGGGUUCUUUGGAAGAUGCUGGGGCAAGCAUGUGGUUAGUUCAUCUCACCUUCCUUGUGAUGAAACUAAGUCAAGUUGGCCAAGGGGUACGACUUACAACCACUCAAGAUCAGACCAAGAGAAUGGGGAAAAAUUCAGAUGAUUAAGUGAACAAUGCGAGACUGUACUGCAAGGAAGUUUCGGCAGAUUGAAACCCACCAUUUUGGUGCCACGACUCUUAUGAGACAAACUUCAGGCUCCUUAUGGAUGUCGAAAAUUUUGAGGAAGUAGGAGAGAAAGAAAAAGGAAACGUUUGGUACCCUCAUUCAAAAUAAUUCAAAUUUUAUACAUUAAAAAUAAAAUUUGGUAUUCAAUGAUCAAAUAUAAUAUCUAUAUUAUUAAAAAUAAUACAUUUGAUUAAAAAUUAGUAUCUUCCAUCCGAAAAAAAAGAGUACAAAAUUCUAAUUAUUUUUAAAUACACAUUAAAUUUAAAUUUUAUGUUCUUUUCACGUGGGCAUGAAGACACUUUUUCUAAAACAAAAGAAAAUCCAAAGUUAUUAAAAAUGGAUUUUUUAAUUAAUUAAUUAAAAAUGAUAAAAUAAUUCUCAUAUUUAUAAAUUUAAUCCCUCUCAUAUUCUUAUUUAAAAAAUAAUUUAAUUUUACUUAAAUAUCCUUAAUUAUCACAAAUAUUUAUAUGAAUGUUUAAAAAAAAAUAAUUACUUUUACAAAAAAAAUUACGAGAUAAAAAAAUGAUUAAAAGUUAAAUUUCCAAAACUUAGGUUUUCAAUACACGUUUUAAUCAAAUAAGCCAUUUUUUUUUCUCUCAUGCAAUUUCCACCUUUUUUGUUUAUGGUUUCCUCACUGUCUUCAUGACUCAAAACGGAGGGUUAAUAUUUCAACCACGACAAAACAGGCUCCAAGAAAGUCAUGAUCACGCGUCCACAGGUCUUGAGGAGUGGAUGAAUGGCGGAAAAUCAAUUCAACUUAGGGGAAGUGGGGAUUUGAUUUCGGCUGUUAUCUUCUCAAGCAUAGAGUCCAAUUUUUCUAUCCCUCUUCAGUAUUUUCAGGGCCUUGACAGGGAGACUGGGUCAAAGGAUCAAUGCUCCAAGAGUAGGGUCCAAGACAGUACCAAUACCAGAUCCUUGUCCUCGUGACAACUGUACUUCCUGGUACGAAAAAUCAUCAAAACUAUCCCAUAUUAUUAGCUAAUUGUCACAAGUUUGGAAUUUUAUAUCGAAAUAUCAAAAACCCAUCCCAGAUUUUCUAUUUCAGCUUUUGUAAAUGGGAAAAUCAUCAAAGCAAUCCAACACCGAACACAACUGUGGUCGUGGGACGGGAUUUCUGCCCCUAAUAAUCUGUACCCACGAAUAAACAUAGAAUCGUUUGCUGCAAUUAAUAUGAGCAUAUUGGAAAUAAGAUACGACCAUAAUGAAAAUAAGGAGGCGCCCAUGCUGAAUAUGCAGCGAGGAUUAGAGUACUCAUUAUGGAAGAUGGAUGGAGUUAGAUCUUGGAUGCUGGUGGGGAAUGGGCAUUAUGGUUCCUUAUUUUCUCUCACCUGAGAGGGAGAGAGAGAGAGAGAGGAGGAGAGAAGAAAGAGACAAACCAAAGUACAGAUAGAUCAGAGAGAAAGAAAGAAGGAUUGAAAAUAAAGUGGGUUUCGAGAGCUUUCAAAGAUAUCGGAUAAAGCAACACGCAGGCCCUCUCUCUCCCAUCUCUCUCUCUCAGCGCAGAGCUGAAAAGAACUGGCAAGCAUAACCCUAGCCACGUUCUCCACUGCAACACUUUAUCCAAAUCAAGAAGCUAAGACGAAAAAUCAAUCGAAUCAGCAUUAUCUUCAGCCAGUGGGGCUGCAACUAUGACAGCAGAGAGCAGAAGAGCUCAGCAAUGCAGCUGAUACGCUCAGUCUCAAACUUCAAAGCAACUCCACCCCAGCUCCAUCCACCAUACCCAUUCCGUGACCUCAAUCCAAUUCUAACUCCCCAUUACUCUCAUCCACAAACAACCCGCCCACAGAAUUACAACGCAUUGGCAAGCCAAGACCCGGAAAAACAAUUCACGAAAAAAGAAAAAGAAAAAAAAGGAAAGGAUUUAAAUUUUUGUUGUCAUGUUAGGUGGUAGAUGCCCAACGGUGGAGACCACAAGUUUAGGUUCUUAACAAAGCAUGAAAAAUCAAAGCAGAUUUGCUAAAAAACCUACACUGUUUGUCUUUCAUUUUCCUUAAAAAAGUGAAUCUAAAACUAACCCAAGAACAUUAAAAUUAAACAAAGUAAUCGAAGGCAGUACAAAGAAGAAGUUUCUAAGAUUCACAGUACUCAAGAAAAAGAAGCUGUAGAAAUAGGCCAAACUCAGUACGGUGGUGGUGGUGGUUGUCUCGCUGUGGGUGCCCAUAUUACAUCUGAUGGUAGGUGGCAGCUGUAAAUGGACAUUUCUGCCGGCGGGUGGCCGCUGUCGCCCGAACCCGUCGGAGGAGACUGGCCAUCGUUGCCUCCGGAGCCUGAAUUGGGCACUUCGUCCUCUCCCGGUAACCGGUGAUAGGAGGGAUUGUUGAAGGACGCAGCAAUGACAUACACCGUCCCAGCGGCCAGCAGGGUUCCGGCUACGGACCCCCCGACGAUCUGGCCCUGCGGACCCGCGAGGGAGAUGGUGAACCCGUUGGCAGAUGACGGAAUCGGAGAGGAGGCCGAUUGGGGGAUAAUGGUAGCAGAGAUUGAGAGAAUAUCAAAACGCCCAUGGAAGGUAACUGUAGCACCUGGGGUGGUGGAGGGCUGCCGGAGGGUGACGUUGGCGACGGUGCCGGAGCCAUUAAGCACACAAAGGCCAAUAUUGCGGCGGCGAGAGAAGCGAGCAAUAGCUUCGACAAUAUCGACGCCGCCAGGGACCUCAAGAACAUAGGGGCUCAUGGCGGGCUCAGUAUCCCGAGUAAUAAUAACAGGGGGUUUGGGCUUGUUCUUGGAACCGGGAGGCCUGCCUCUGGGUCUCCUCACAACUUCAAUGGUAGCCCCGUCACCGUCGCCAGAUUUAGGUUUGGUGGGCGUAGGAGUAGUAGCACCGGCUGCGGCGACGGCGGUGGCACCACCGCUGCUGCGGCUGUCGUCUUCCUCCGAAGUCUGACAUUCUCGGCUGAUUUGGAAGUGAUGUUGGUGGUGGGGCUGCUGCUGCUGUUGGAGGUGGUGGUGGUGGUGAGGAUGGAGAGGCUGUUGGAAAUUGUGGGGUUGGUGAAGCUUGGCGAACAUGUUAUUGCUCUCAUUCUUGCCAUCUACAUAUUCACCUUUCAUCCUUCUCCUUCUGUCUCUAUGAUUGGGAAUCUUUAUAUAUAUAUGUUUGCAAUAAAAAAAACACCAAAUUCAAAGAAAGGGUGAUGGGGAGAGAGAGAGAAAGAGAGCGCGCAGAUGCAGCAGUAGAAGAGAGUUGGAUUUGUUUAUCAGUUUUAUGUAUAAGACGAGAGAGAGAGAGAGAGAGAGAGAAAGAGCCAGAGAGAGAGAGAGAAGAGUGGGAGGGAGGUGGGUGAGCUUGGAAACUAAGUAAAGACCAAGGCGCCGCUGGUUGGAGGCAGAGUAGGCUCCACACAUGCCCAAUGCCUUUUGGUUAGCUCAACCUUUCACCGCCUCAAUCUUUUCUUCAAGUUUGAAAGAGAGGAGAGAGAUAGAGAGAGAGAGAGAGUGAAUGAGCCUCCGACCGAGUGGAUUGACAAUGACUUGUUGAUGUUCCUCUUUUGGGUCAUGGGGGAUGGGUUUGUGUGCAUUUCCCAUCUCUCUCUCUCUCUCUCUCUCACUUCCCCUUUCCUUCUCUUCUCUCUCUCUCCAGUACUGUUUCCCUUGUUGGUCUUAGCCUCUUCUGUCUCUAAUAAAAUUUCAAAAUUCCACAGCUCACUUCCUUUGACGAGAAGAUUUUCUCAUUUUCAUGUGCCAAUUUUUGGAGUUUCUGGUUCAAACUUCAUCGUCCAGCACUUCGUCCCAAGCUUACACCCUUUCAUUUCUUCUUACGUUACGCACAACGUGUGGAUUAUUUCGUGAUCAUCAUAAAAGCCUUGCCACGCCAUCAGGUCAAUUUUACACCCUUUUCUUAUCUUCUUAUCCACCCGCUCAAUUUGCGAGACCUCCAUGCUCAUUCCUGGACUUGAGCCCAUCCAAUCCUCAUUCCCCACUCCCCACUCCUCUCUCUUUCCUCUCCUUUCCUUUCCAGGCAAGGGGGUGGAAAGGAUACGGUAAGUGACAUGCAAGCGUGGGCUCCAUCCCGUAUUUGUAUUCAAAGGAAUCAUCAUCAUUCGACCUUGGUUUUUCACGAACCUCAUUAUUCAUUUUACCACCAAUUAUAUAUAUAUAUAUACAUAUUUGGCAAAUUGGGAAUCUUUAAUCUUCACAUAACUCAAAUAUUCAAACCCACACAUACAAAUCAUUGACAUCUCAGCAAGAUAUCAAUUUGAUUUCAAUUUCCAACAUCAUUCUAAUAAACAAAUGCAACAACAAACCCAUCCUUUUCCUUUGGUUCUAACAAUUGAAUUCUCCUUCAACUGAGUAACCCCCAAAACACAGAGAAGAUAGCACCCAGUGGGAAUGAGGAUUGGCAUACAUUCAUUUUAUCUCUUUCUAUAAAUGCAUAUAAAUGCAGGAGAAUGGGGGUGUAUUCAUGGACAAAGGAUUGCCAAAGGAGUUGAAACAGACUCAUCACAACAAUAAUGGAGUCGGUCCCCAGCUGCAAUAUGCAAACAAGACAAAAUAUUAGUAGCUUGUUUAAGACAUAUGUAUGUAUAUACACACGCACACGCAUAGGCCAUGGUUGGGCUCAUUGUAAAUCAUCAGCGAUUUGUUUUAUUUGGAGAAAGUAAACCAUAGAUAACUAACUACCUUCAAAAUUUCUGGAUUCAGGACAUGACAAUCAUUUGAUUUACCUUCUUAAGAAUUUCAUUUUCUACCAUUCAAACAUACCGAUUUGGGAAUAUCACAUUGCCUAAUGCAACUGCAAUUUACAACUAACCCCCUCUAAGCAGAAUAAAGCCCUAAAAAAUUAUAAAAAUUAUCUGUGUUUAUAUAAGAGGGAUGCCAAAAGUUACCUUAGCUUCCAACAAGGUCUUUUCCACACUGUUAAAAUUUUCGACAGAUCCUCAAGGGGAAUCGGUAGCCUACCCACCACCCAGAGGGUGGCUUUACUCCUCUCACCAAAAAAGCAAAGCAAAAGUAAAGCAAAAUGGGCCUGAGCCCUGAGGUGACGCCCUUUGAUUCGUUAUGGUUAAAGGGUUGGAAAGCCCUUUGGGAUUUUAAUAGUAACCCAGAUGCCAAAAUAACUUUGCUUCUUUUAUUUCCAAAACUAGAAAUAUUGUCCUUUCUAUGUGACUCAUCCAUCGACCCUGUUUUUUCAGUUGUUGCACUUAUGCUUUACAUCGGCUGUGCCUCACUAAUGUUACACAAGGAUCCUUUCAAAAUUCCAUUGAUUGAAUUUUCAGUACUGUAUGUUGGGAGAAUCACUAUAUAUGUAUACACAACUUGUGGGGAAAUUCAAAGGGAGAAAGCUUUGAAUUAUUUACCUACCAAAGUAGAUCAAGUAGGAUUAAAGCAAGAAUCAUAUUCACUGAGAACAAACACAUAUGCUAAACAUAUUUUAAAAAAAUAAAUAGAUAAAAGAUGCAAAAUUAAAUCAAUCUACAAUGCAUAACAGUGAAAUCUUCCUUAUGCUUGGGAUGGGAUAGGACAAAACUUGCACUCAUUCAGUCAUUUGUCAAAAUUGAAAAGACAAGCAGGAGAGUAUCAGUAUAUGGGUCGUGGUGGCAUCUCCAUGGCAAGAGAUGGGAAUUGGAUUUGGGAUGGUACUGAAGCUAGGAGCUAGCAAAUGUGAUUUUAGGAAGACAAUGGAGACACUGUGGGAACACUCAACAGUUGUAGGAAUAUCUUUCAUGGGGUAUAUUAUAUAGAGGGCGAGAAUGUGUGGAAGAGAAAGGUAACUGUGGACAACAAUUUGGAAAGGAAACUUGGUGAGAUGUGGUUGGGCGUCUAUGGGGAUAAGUCAGUAAGUUAGUUGAACCUCCCAUCAAAUCUCAUAAAAAAAAACUUCAAAUGGAAAAGCAGCAUAAGAUAAACGAUGGAUUUUGUUUUCCCUCCGUAUUUGACAAGGUGGCUGUGAAUAGAAGCCUAGUUAGGUAAACUAAAUCACUUGGAAAGCACAAAAAACACAGUACAAUAAUUAUUAUAAGGCAGAAAACAACAUCUCCUCCUUACAACUGUUGGACAAUGGACAGAAGAUCAAUCACCAUGAUAUUUUUUAUUCAUGCAAAUGCUAUCAGACGCAUCCAUACCCAUCUAGCUUUGACAAUCUCCCGGGUUGAGUGUCUUAGAAAUAAUUUUUGUCGGUAAUACAAAUUUUACAAAUCAUUACUUUGCAAAAGAUGCACACUUUUGUUGACUAAUGACACCAAAAAAAAUGACAGGGGAAAUAAAAAAAGCCCCACCUUUCCCAUUUUACCAGUGUCCAUCUUUGAAUUCUGUAUAUAAUAUGGUUGGUGGAAGACGAGAGUGAACCUUUUCUUUUCUUUUCUUUUCUUUUUUUCCUCUUAAUUUCUGCUUUUACUGAACUCGAGCUAGUUUGAGUAGUAGAGAAAAGUCAACAAUUUUUAGGACUUCUGGUUUUGCUACAUUGAAAGUUCCUUUACCUUUCCCAUGAAUUGUUCACCACGUUUGUCUUUUUGCUUGAAUAGAUUCCUUCAAAUUAGGUGAUUAACCUCGAGUUCCUUUUGUUUUGGUUGGGUAAAAAACAAAAUAGCAUAAUUGAUAUGGUAAACCUCGUCUAUCAUUUGAAAAAAAAGAAUGCAGUGACUUGAUUAUUGGAAUCAGCAUGACUUCAACUUGGCCCCAAGAACGUAUUCUAAUGGGCAGCCGCCCCUGUUCAACUUCCCCCCCGUAUUACGUUGUUACCACAUGGCCAUCAAGGUUUCAAAAGAUAAAACUCAUUUGAAUGAAUCAUUAUCAUUUGAUG
Molecule: long non-coding RNA, 19613 nt
Filed under: Vitis vinifera (wine grape)
Lineage: Eukaryota; Viridiplantae; Streptophyta; Magnoliopsida; Vitales; Vitaceae
Description: long non-coding RNA (VVIN_LNC005957)
Source: RNAcentral